Molecule: transfer RNA, 76 nt
Filed under: Polystyrenella longa
Lineage: Bacteria; Pseudomonadati; Planctomycetota; Planctomycetia; Planctomycetales; Planctomycetaceae
Description: Planctomycetes bacterium Pla110 tRNA-His
Rfam family: tRNA
About the family: Transfer RNA (tRNA) molecules are approximately 80 nucleotides in length.
Source: RNAcentral
GUGGCUAUAGCUCAGUUGGUUAGAGCGCGGGAUUGUGAUUCCCGAGGUCGCGGGUUCGAGCCCCGUUAGCCACCCC